CUGCUGCCACAUAUCCAACCAUCAGGAAUGAGGAGCAAUGGAGUUCUUCAUACGGUACAACCCCUUGAGGAAACCAACCACCUACUUGGUGGCUAAAUGAUUAUAUCAGACCCCUUCAUGCUGUAAAGAGCAACAAUUCAUCCUGGGCAUAUUUAUCAUAACCUGAGGAGCCUCUGAUAUAGUCAGGGUUAUAGUUUGUUCUAGAAACUCUCCUCUUACAAGUAACCAGAAACUGCACCAGUCAGAAUCCUGGAAGACCUGCAACCAGAUGGAGUCACAUGGACAUAGGAAGAAUCAGCUCUGAGUGGUACAAAUGAGGCUUGCAUUUGGCUGAAGGAAACUGCCUAAGUCACACAUGGCUGGGAUAUUAAACCACUUCCCACCCAAGUGUACAGAGGCCUCUGUCCAGCCACCACCAACAUUUCUCAGCCUGUUUUGCAAUAGAGGGGCCACAGGAAUAGUUCUCAGCAAUGGAAUGGGAGACAAGGUAAGACACAUUCUCUCAAGACCAAGAUUAAGAAGCCUUUUCUACUUGUUCUUUUCCUCUUUCUGCACAUAGAUGACCCUAUAGUAGGGAGGCCAUCAGAUAAAAAGAGUCUGGGUUUCAGAGUUACCUUGGGAAAGAUGGCCACCAAUCAGUAACUCUUGUAUUAUUAAACGAGUGAGAAGUAAACUUUGAGUGUGUUUGGCAUUAAA
RNAcentral lists this long non-coding RNA (696 nucleotides) under Vulpes vulpes (red fox). RNAcentral's name for it is "lncRNA (ENSVVUG00000030148.1)". Lineage: Eukaryota; Metazoa; Chordata; Mammalia; Carnivora; Canidae. The record is from RNAcentral.